RNAcentral lists this ribosomal RNA (400 nucleotides) under uncultured bacterium. RNAcentral describes it as "bacterial SSU rRNA". It matches the Rfam family "Bacterial small subunit ribosomal RNA", at positions 355 to 772 of the family's 1533-position model. The record is from RNAcentral.
UAGGGAAUAUUGCACAAUGGAGGAAACUCUGAUGCAGCGACGCCGCGUGAGUGAUGAAGGCCUUCGGGUUGUAAAACUCUGUGAUAAGGGAAGAUGAUGACGGUACCUUAUCAGAAAAGACCGGCUAACUUCGUGCCAGCAGCCGCGGUAAUACGAGGGGUCUAAGCGUUGUUCGGAAUCACUGGGCGUAAAGCGGGUGUAGGUGGCUCAGCAAGUUAGAUGUGAAAGCCCCGGGCUCAACCCGGGAAGUGCAUCUAAAACUACUGAGCUUGAGUACGGGAGAGGGAAGCAGAAUUCCUGGUGUAGUGGUGAAAUACGUAGAUAUCAGGAGGAACACCGGUGGCGAAGGCGGUUUCCUGGCCCAGUACUGACACUCAGACCCGAAAGCGUGGGUAGCAAA